GGAGUUUGGUCCGUGUCUCAGUACCAAUGUGGGGGGUUAACCUCUCAGUCCCCCUAUGUAUCGUCGUCUUGGUGAGCCGUUACCUCACCAACUAACUAAUACAACGCAUGUCCAUCUUAAACCGCCGGAACUUUCAACUUCAGAAGAUGCCUCCUAAAGUGUUAUGGGGAAUUAGUACCAAUUUCUCAGUGUUAUGCCCCUGUUUAAGGUAGGUUACAUACGCGUUACGCACCCGUGCGCCGGUCGCCGGCAAAAGUAGCAAGCUACUUUCCCGCUGCCCCUCGACUUGCAUGUGUUAGGCCUGCCGCUAGCGUUCAUC
RNAcentral lists this ribosomal RNA (319 nucleotides) under uncultured Rikenellaceae bacterium. RNAcentral describes it as "partial 16S ribosomal RNA". The record is from RNAcentral. Lineage: Bacteria; Pseudomonadati; Bacteroidota; Bacteroidia; Bacteroidales; Rikenellaceae.